This 647-nucleotide ribosomal RNA is filed under the name uncultured archaeon. RNAcentral describes it as "bacterial SSU rRNA". It matches the Rfam family "Archaeal small subunit ribosomal RNA", at positions 833 to 1478 of the family's 1478-position model. The record is from RNAcentral.
GAGUACGGCCGCAAGGCUGAAACUUAAAGGAAUCGGCGGGGGAGCACUACAACGGGUGGAGCCUGCGGUUUAAUUGGACUCAACGCCGGAAAACUCACCGGGGGCGACAGCAAUAUGUAGGUCAGGUUAAAGGUCUUACCUGAAUCGCUGAGAGGAGGUGCAUGGCCGUCGUCAGUUCGUACUGUGAAGCAUCCUGUUAAGUCAGGCAACGAGCAAGACCCGUGCCCACUGUUACCAGCAUAUCCUUUAUGGAUGAUGGGGACUCUGUGGGGACCGCUGCUGCUAAAGCAGAGGAAGGUGCGGGCUACGGUAGGUCAGUAUGCCCCGAAUCUCCCGGGCUACACGCGGGCUACAAUGGUUGGGACAAUGGGUACCUACUCCGAAAGGAGUUGGCAAUCUCUUAAACCCAAUCGUAGUUCGAAUUGAGGGCUGUAACUCGCCCUCAUGAAGCUGGAAUCCGUAGUAAUCGCGUUUCAACAUAGCGCGGUGAAUCUGUCCCUGCUCCUUGCACACACCGCCCGUCAAACCAUCCGAGUGAGGUAUGGGUGAGGGCACGAACUUAGUGUCGUGCUCGAACCUAAAUUUCGCAAGGAGGGUUAAGUCGUAACAAGGUAGCCGUAGGGGAAUCUGCGGCUGGAUCACCUCCU